AGAGUUUGAUCAUGACUCAGGAUGAACGCUAGCUACAGGCUUAACACAUGCAAGUCGAGGGGAAACGAUAUUGGAAGCUUGCUUCCGAUAGGCGUCGACCGGCGCACGGGUGAGUAACGCGUAUCCAACCUGCCCACCACUUGGGGAUAACCUUGCGAAAGUAAGGCUAAUACCCAAUGAUAUCUCUAGAAGACAUCUGAAAGAGAUUAAAGAUUUAUCGGUGAUGGAUGGGGAUGCGUCUGAUUAGCUUGUUGGCGGGGUAACGGCCCACCAAGGCAACGAUCAGUAGGGGUUCUGAGAGGAAGGUCCCCCACAUUGGAACUGAGACACGGUCCAAACUCCUACGGGAGCAGCA
Molecule: ribosomal RNA, 355 nt
Filed under: uncultured bacterium
Lineage: Bacteria
Description: bacterial SSU rRNA
Rfam family: Bacterial small subunit ribosomal RNA
Source: RNAcentral